This 423-nucleotide ribosomal RNA is filed under the name uncultured Thermoplasmata archaeon. RNAcentral's name for it is "bacterial SSU rRNA". It matches the Rfam family "Archaeal small subunit ribosomal RNA", at positions 322 to 747 of the family's 1478-position model. The record is from RNAcentral. Lineage: Archaea; Methanobacteriati; Thermoplasmatota; Thermoplasmata.
CCUACGGGGCGCAGCAGGCGCGAAACCUCUGCAAUGCGGGAAACCGUGACAGGGGGAUCCCAAGUGCUCAUGCAUUGCAUGGGCUGUUCUCUGGUCUAAGUAACCAGAGGAGUAAGAGCUGGGCAAGACCGGUGCCAGCCGCCGCGGUAAUACCGGCAGCUCGAGUGGUAGCCGCGAUUAUUGGGCCUAAAGCGUUCGUAGCCGGAUAAGUAAGUCUUUGGUUAAAUCCUACGACUCAACCGUGGGAAAUCUAGAGAUACUGCUUGUCUUGAGACCGGGAGAGGUUGGAGGUACUCCUGGGGUAGGGGUGAAAUCCUAUAAUCCUAGGGGGACCACCUGUGGCGAAGGCGUCCAACUGGAACGGGUCUGACGGUGAGGGACGAAACCUAGGGGAGCGAGCCGGAUUAGAUACCCCCGUAGUCC